AAUCAACGCUGGCGGCGUGCCUAACACAUGCAAGUCGAACGAGAAAGGGUAGCAAUACCUGAGUAAAGUGGCGCACGGGUGAGUAACACGUGACUAACCUACCCUGGAGUGGGGGAUAACUAAGAGAAAUCUUGGCUAAUACCGCAUAACACCUACGGGUCAAAGGAGCAAUUCGCUUUGGGAGGGGGUCGCGGCCGAUUAGUUAGUUGGCGGGGUAAUGGCCCACCAAGACAGUGAUCGGUAUCCGGCCUGAGAGGGCGCACGGACACACUGGAACUGAAACACGGUCCAGACUCCUACGGGAGGCAGCAGUGGGGAAUUUUGCGCAAUGGGGGAAACCCUGACGCAGCAACGCCGCGUGGAGGAUGAAGUACUUCGGUACGUAAACUCCUUUCGAUCGGGACGAUAAUGACGGUACCGGAAGAAGAAGCCCCGGCUAACUUCGUGCCAGCAGCCGCGGUAAUACGAGGGGGGCAAGCGUUGUUCGGAAUUAUUGGGCGUAAAGGG
This 507-nucleotide ribosomal RNA is filed under the name uncultured bacterium. RNAcentral's name for it is "bacterial SSU rRNA". It matches the Rfam family "Bacterial small subunit ribosomal RNA", at positions 28 to 567 of the family's 1533-position model. The record is from RNAcentral.